Molecule: ribosomal RNA, 118 nt
Filed under: Phascolarctos cinereus (koala)
Lineage: Eukaryota; Metazoa; Chordata; Mammalia; Diprotodontia; Phascolarctidae
Source: RNAcentral
AUCUAUGGCCAUACCACUCUUACAGCUCCCAAUCUAGGCUGAUCUCAAAAGCUAAGCAGGGUUAGGCCUGAUUAGUACUUGGAUGGGAGGCCAUCUGGGAGUUCUGGGGCUGGAAGUU